RNAcentral lists this ribosomal RNA (433 nucleotides) under uncultured bacterium. RNAcentral describes it as "partial 16S ribosomal RNA". It matches the Rfam family "Bacterial small subunit ribosomal RNA", at positions 29 to 507 of the family's 1533-position model. The record is from RNAcentral.
AACGAACGCUGGCGGCAGGCUUAACACAUGCAAGUCGAACGCACCUUUCGGGGUGAUUGGCUGACGGGUGAGUAACGCGUGGGAAUCUACCCUUCUCUACGGGAUAGCUCCGGGAAACUGGAAUUAAUACCGUAUACGUCCUGAGGGAGAAAGAUUUAUCGGGGAAGGAUGAGCCCGCGUUGGAUUAGCUAGUUGGUGGGGUAAAGGCCUACCAAGGCGACGAUCCAUAGCUGGUCUAAGAGGAUGAUCAGCCACAUUGGGACUGAGACACGGCCCAAACUCCUACGGGAGGGAGCAGUGGGGAAUAUUGGACAAUGGGCGCAAGCAUGAGCCAGCCAUGCCGCGUGAGUGAUGAAGGCCCUAGGGUUGUAAAGCUCUUUCAGUGGGGACGAUAAUGACGGUACCCAAAGAAGAAGCCCCGGCUAACUUCGUG